UGAGGAAUAUUGGUCAAUGGUCGGGAGACUGAACCAGCCAAGCCGCGUGAGGGAUGAAGGUACAGAGUAUCGUAAACCUCUUUUGUCAGGGAACAAAAGGCGCCACGCGUGGCGCUCCGAGUGUACCUGAAGAAAAUGCAUCGGCUAACUCCGUGCCAGCAGCCGCGGUAAUACGGAGGAUGCGAGCGUUAUCCGGAUUUAUUGGGUUUAAAGGGUGCGUAGGCGGCGAGUUAAGUCAGCGGUAAAAGCCCGGGGCUCAACCCGGCCCGCCGUUCGUAAACUGGCUUGCUUGAGUUGGAGAGAAGUAGGCGGAAUGCGCGGUGUAGCGGUGAAAUGCUUAGAUAUCGCGCAGAACUCCGAUUGCGAAGGCAGCCUACCGGCUCCAGACUGACGCUGAGGCACGAAAGCGUGGGUAUCGAACAGGAUUAGAUACC
This 434-nucleotide ribosomal RNA is filed under the name uncultured bacterium. RNAcentral's name for it is "bacterial SSU rRNA". It matches the Rfam family "Bacterial small subunit ribosomal RNA", at positions 355 to 786 of the family's 1533-position model. The record is from RNAcentral.